Physcomitrium patens is the source of this 1185-nucleotide non-coding RNA. NCBI's taxonomy places the organism in Eukaryota, Viridiplantae, Streptophyta, Bryopsida, Funariales, Funariaceae. The record is from RefSeq and is a predicted model, not a curated record.
AGUUUAGGGCUUGGCUUCGAGAAAUCUGUUCGACUUAUAAGUGGUCAGAUGGCCUUCAAUUUUUCGUUGGGUAUCAUGUUUGAGAGGAUUUGCAAGCAUUAUUCCGCGAAAGAUGGAAGCAUUCGAUUGAAAUGACGUUUGUUGAAGUCAUCGGGCCUUUCUUGGAUGUGGAUAGCGUCGUCACGCAUUGGGUAGUGGAGGAUAGUUGCGCAAAGGAAGCAGCUAGUGAGUGAGUCGAGAUUGUGUCCACAGCCAAUUAAUUAAGGAGCAGGUUGCUUCAAAGUUCUAACAGCGUUCGUCGGAAGAGAUUUGGUAAGUUGUUCUAGUGACUGGGUUUUGGUAUCGGUGUUGGAGGUGGAGAAAGAAGAGGAGAUGGGACGGGCGCAGGAUGCGUCGAUAUCCUCCUGCUAUACUAGAAUAUGAUGUAGUUACGUAAGAUCAACACUGCCAUCUUUGUGGAUAUCUGGUUUGGUUCAAUUUUCAUGGGCUUUGCUAAUAGGCUGCGAUAGCGUAGAAAAGUCUAGGCAUAAGACGGGAUGGUUGCUUAUUCUCAUAUCAGAGGGUAUAGUAAUCAAGGAAGUAGAAUUCAAAACAUUUCCUCUAGGAACAAGUGCAAGUUAAACAGCAUCAGAUGAGAAGACUACUGAUGAGAAGGCUUCAACUUCGGAAACCUUGAGGAGCACCAUCAAGCGUGACACGAAAUGGAUAUUCUUCUUGGGAGUUCCAAUGUCCACAGCUCCCCACAUUAUGCGUUCUGUGACCGUGUCCUGCAUGGCGUCCCUCAGGGAAGCUCAACGCAAAGCAUCCUUAAAUUAGAGAACCAAUGAGAUCUCAUGCCUCAAUAGACAGAAACUGGAAUGAUCAAAGGGUGUGAACGACUUGGAAGAGGUAUGAAAUCACCAUGGCCACAAUCCAUUGAAUGUGUUCUAGAACUCCAUCUGGAUUCCUUCUGCACAAUAACUUCAAAAACAAUCUACAGCUUUAGCUGUCUUUGAGGUGUUCAGUGCCCAGGGAAACUUUUUUUUUUUAAUUUUUUGACACAAAUAGUGAGUUACUCUACUCCAAGUAAAAUAAAAUUAUAGUACUGGGCCAGGUCUGGCCAAGUGUAUUAAAGUUACUUAUGGGUUACUAUUUACAAAUGAGUUAAUCGGACUAGAAAGCUUCCAUUCUGGUCAAUUGCAUUCC